RNAcentral lists this ribosomal RNA (1823 nucleotides) under Escherichia coli. RNAcentral describes it as "partial 23S ribosomal RNA". It matches the Rfam family "Bacterial large subunit ribosomal RNA", at positions 430 to 2236 of the family's 2925-position model. The record is from RNAcentral. Lineage: Bacteria; Pseudomonadati; Pseudomonadota; Gammaproteobacteria; Enterobacterales; Enterobacteriaceae.
UAUCCUGUCUGAAUAUGGGGGGACCAUCCUCCAAGGCUAAAUACUCCUGACUGACCGAUAGUGAACCAGUACCGUGAGGGAAAGGCGAAAAGAACCCCGGCGAGGGGAGUGAAAAAGAACCUGAAACCGUGUACGUACAAGCAGUGGGAGCACAGAGCAAUCUGUGUGACUGCGUACCUUUUGUAUAAUGGGUCAGCGACUUAUAUUCUGUAGCAAGGUUAACCGAAUAGGGGAGCCGAAGGGAAACCGAGUCUUAACUGGGCGUUAAGUUGCAGGGUAUAGACCCGAAACCCGGUGAUCUAGCCAUGGGCAGGUUGAAGGUUGGGUAACACUAACUGGAGGACCGAACCGACUAAUGUUGAAAAAUUAGCGGAUGACUUGUGGCUGGGGGUGAAAGGCCAAUCAAACCGGGAGAUAGCUGGUUCUCCCCGAAAGCUAUUUAGGUAGCGCCUCGUGAAUUCAUCUCCGGGGGUAGAGCACUGUUUCGGCAAGGGGGUCAUCCCGACUUACCAACCCGAUGCAAACUGCGAAUACCGGAGAAUGUUAUCACGGGAGACACACGGCGGGUGCUAACGUCCGUCGUGAAGAGGGAAACAACCCAGACCGCCAGCUAAGGUCCCAAAGUCAUGGUUAAGUGGGAAACGAUGUGGGAAGGCCCAGACAGCCAGGAUGUUGGCUUAGAAGCAGCCAUCAUUUAAAGAAAGCGUAAUAGCUCACUGGUCGAGUCGGCCUGCGCGGAAGAUGUAACGGGGCUAAACCAUGCACCGAAGCUGCGGCAGCGACGCUGAUGCGUUGUUGGGUAGGGGAGCGUUCUGUAAGCCUGUGAAGGUGUGCUGUGAGGCAUGCUGGAGGUAUCAGAAGUGCGAAUGCUGACAUAAGUAACGAUAAAGCGGGUGAAAAGCCCGCUCGCCGGAAGACCAAGGGUUCCUGUCCAACGUUAAUCGGGGCAGGGUGAGUCGACCCCUAAGGCGAGGCCGAAAGGCGUAGUCGAUGGGAAACAGGUUAAUAUUCCUGUACUUGGUGUUACUGCGAAGGGGGGACGGAGAAGGCUAUGUUGGCCGGGCGACGGUUGUCCCGGUUUAAGCGUGUAGGCUGGUUUUCCAGGCAAAUCCGGAAAAUCAAGGCUGAGGCGUGAUGACGAGGCACUACGGUGCUGAAGCAACAAAUGCCCUGCUUCCAGGAAAAGCCUCUAAGCAUCAGGUAACAUCAAAUCGUACCCCAAACCGACACAGGUGGUCAGGUAGAGAAUACCAAGGCGCUUGAGAGAACUCGGGUGAAGGAACUAGGCAAAAUGGUGCCGUAACUUCGGGAGAAGGCACGCUGAUAUGUAGGUGAAGUCCCUCGCGGAUGGAGCUGAAAUCAGUCGAAGAUACCAGCUGGCUGCAACUGUUUAUUAAAAACACAGCACUGUGCAAACACGAAAGUGGACGUAUACGGUGUGACGCCUGCCCGGUGCCGGAAGGUUAAUUGAUGGGGUCAGCGCAAGCGAAGCUCUUGAUCGAAGCCCCGGUAAACGGCGGCCGUAACUAUAACGGUCCUAAGGUAGCGAAAUUCCUUGUCGGGUAAGUUCCGACCUGCACGAAUGGCGUAAUGAUGGCCAGGCUGUCUCCACCCGAGACUCAGUGAAAUUGAACUCGCUGUGAAGAUGCAGUGUACCCGCGGCAAGACGGAAAGACCCCGUGAACCUUUACUAUAGCUUGACACUGAACAUUGAGCCUUGAUGUGUAGGAUAGGUGGGAGGCUUUGAAGUGUGGACGCCAGUCUGCAUGGAGCCGGCCUUGAAAUACCACCCUUUAAUGUUUGAUGUUCUAACGUUGACCCGU